GACGAACGCUGGCGGCGUGCUUAACACAUGCAAGUCGAACGGGCCUUGUCCCCUUUUUUUUUGGGGGUGGGGUUAGUGGCGAACGGGUGAGUAACACGUGAGUAACCUGCCCCUCACUUCUGGAUAACCGCUUGAAAGGGUGGCUAAUACGGGGUGUUCUGGCCUGCUCGCAUGGGUGGGUUUGGAAAGAUUCGACCGGUUUUGGUUGUUUUGGUUGGGGAUGGGCUCGCGGCCUAUCAGCUUGUUGGCGGGGUGGUGGCCUGCCAAGGCUUUGACGGGUAGCCGGCCUGAGAGGGUGGGCGGUCACACUGGGACUGAGACACGGCCCAGACUCCUACGGGAGGCAGCAGUGGGGAAUAUUGCACGAUGGGCGCAAGCCUGAUGCAGCGACGCCGCGUGAGGGAUGGAGGCCUUCGGGUUGUGAACCUCUUUCGCCAGUGAAGAAGGUCCUGCUCUUUGUGGUGGGGUUGACGGUAGCUGGGUUAAUGAAGCGCCGGCUAACUACGUG
Molecule: ribosomal RNA, 508 nt
Filed under: uncultured bacterium
Lineage: Bacteria
Description: partial 16S ribosomal RNA
Rfam family: Bacterial small subunit ribosomal RNA
Source: RNAcentral